Molecule: ribosomal RNA, 327 nt
Filed under: Escherichia coli
Lineage: Bacteria; Pseudomonadati; Pseudomonadota; Gammaproteobacteria; Enterobacterales; Enterobacteriaceae
Description: partial 23S ribosomal RNA
Rfam family: Bacterial large subunit ribosomal RNA
Source: RNAcentral
UCAUCUCCGGGGGUAGAGCACUGUUUCGGCAAGGGGGUCAUCCCGACUUACCAACCCGAUGCAAACUGCGAAUACCGGAGAAUGUUAUCACGGGAGACACACGGCGGGUGCUAACGUCCGUCGUGAAGAGGGAAACAACCCAGACCGCCAGCUAAGGUCCCAAAGUCAUGGUUAAGUGGGAAACGAUGUGGGAAGGCCCAGACAGCCAGGAUGUUGGCUUAGAAGCAGCCAUCAUUUAAAGAAAGCGUAAUAGCUCACUGGUCGAGUCGGCCUGCGCGGAAGAUGUAACGGGGCUAAACCAUGCACCGAAGCUGCGGCAGCGACGCU